AUUGAACGCUGGCGGCAGGCCUAACACAUGCAAGUCGAGCGGAUGAAGGGAGCUUGCUCCUGGAUUCAGCGGCGGACGGGUGAGUAAUGCCUAGGAAUCUGCCUGGUAGUGGGGGAUAACGUCCGGAAACGGGCGCUAAUACCGCAUACGUCCUGAGGGAGAAAGUGGGGGAUCUUCGGACCUCACGCUAUCAGAUGAGCCUAGGUCGGAUUAGCUAGUUGGUGGGGUAAAGGCCUAGCAAGGCGACGAUCCGUAACUGGUCUGAGAUGAUGAUCAGUCACACUGGAACUGAGCCACGGUCCAGACUCCUACGGGAGCCAGCAGUGGAGAAUAUUGGACAAUGGGCGAAAGCAUGAUCCAGCCAUGCCGCGUGUGUGAAGAAGGUCUUCGGAUUGUAAAGCACUUUAAGUUGGGAGGAAGGGCAGUAAGUUAAUACCUUGCUGUAUUGACGUUACCAACAGAAUAAGCACCGGCUAACUUCGUG
RNAcentral lists this ribosomal RNA (484 nucleotides) under uncultured bacterium. RNAcentral describes it as "partial 16S ribosomal RNA". It matches the Rfam family "Bacterial small subunit ribosomal RNA", at positions 30 to 507 of the family's 1533-position model. The record is from RNAcentral.